Molecule: unclassified non-coding RNA, 356 nt
Filed under: uncultured fungus
Lineage: Eukaryota; Fungi
Also listed under: 1 other name
Description: partial contains 5.8S ribosomal RNA, internal transcribed spacer 2, and large subunit ribosomal RNA
Source: RNAcentral
AACGCACCUUGCGCCCCUUGGUAUUCCGAGGGGCACACCCGUUUGAGUGUCGUGAAAAUCUCAACCCUCUCGGUUUCUUCUGGACACCGAAGGAGGCUUGGACUUUGGAGGCCUUUGCUGGCGUCUCUCUCUUGAGAGAGCCAGCUCCUCUUAAAUGAAUUAGCGGGGUCCUCUUUGCUGGUCCUCGACAUGUGAUAAGAUGUUUCCAUGUCUUGGUUUCUGGCUCUGUUGCUUUUGGGACCCGCUUCUAACCGUCUCAACGAGACAACGUUUGAGCGCGUCUCCCUUCUCGGGAGACCCUCUCAACCUCACGAACCCUUGACCUCAAAUCGGGUGAGACUACCCGCUAAACUUAA